This 253-nucleotide ribosomal RNA is filed under the name uncultured bacterium. RNAcentral's name for it is "partial 16S ribosomal RNA". It matches the Rfam family "Bacterial small subunit ribosomal RNA", at positions 524 to 776 of the family's 1533-position model. The record is from RNAcentral.
UACAGAGGGUGCGAGCGUUAAUCGGAAUUACUGGGCGUAAAGCGCGCGUAGGCGGCUUUGCAAGCCGGAUGUGAAAUCCCCGGGCUUAACCUGGGAACUGCAUUCGGGACUGCAUUGCUAGAGUACGGGAGAGGGAAGUGGAAUUUCAGGUGUAGCGGUGAAAUGCGUAGAUAUCUGAAGGAACAUCAGUGGCGAAAGCGACUUCCUGGACCAAUACUGACGCUCAUGUGCGAAAGCGUGGGGAGCAAACAGG